Long non-coding RNA from Sapajus apella (tufted capuchin), 128 nucleotides. RefSeq lists it as uncharacterized. The transcript has 2 exons. NCBI's taxonomy places the organism in Eukaryota, Metazoa, Chordata, Mammalia, Primates, Cebidae. The record is from RefSeq and is a predicted model, not a curated record.
CUCUUCUUUGUAAGAAACUAAAAAGAAUAAAACAAAAAGCAUGGGUUGCAAUCCUAGGCUCUGAUGAAAUGGACUGUAAACCAACAAAGAUCAAAAGAGACAAAGCAGGGCAUUACAUAAUGGUAAAA